UACAGAGGGUGCGAGCGUUGUCCGGAAUCACUGGGCGUAAAGGGCGCGUAGGUGGCGGCAUAAGGCCGUGGUGAAAGUCUGGGGCUCAACCCCAGAUCGGCCGCGGCGACUGUGUCGCUUGGGCACCGUAGAGGCAGAUGGAAUUCCGGGUGUAGCGGUGGAAUGCGUAGAGAUGUGGAGGAACACCGAUGGCGAAGGCAGCCCCCUGGGCUGAGAUUGACGCUCAGGCACGAAAGCGUGGGGAGCAAACAGG
This 253-nucleotide ribosomal RNA is filed under the name uncultured bacterium. RNAcentral describes it as "partial 16S ribosomal RNA". It matches the Rfam family "Bacterial small subunit ribosomal RNA", at positions 524 to 776 of the family's 1533-position model. The record is from RNAcentral.